AAUACGUUCCCGGGCCUUGUACACACCGCCCGUCAAGCCAUGGAAGCUGGAAAGUGCCUGAAGUGUGUAACCGUAAGGAGCGUCCUAGGGUAAAGUCGGUAACUGGGGCU
Molecule: ribosomal RNA, 110 nt
Filed under: uncultured bacterium
Lineage: Bacteria
Description: partial 16S ribosomal RNA
Rfam family: Bacterial small subunit ribosomal RNA
Source: RNAcentral